GGCAGGGUAGCUCAGCUGGUUAGAGCAGUGCAUUCAUAACGCAAAGAUCGCGGGUUCGAGUCCCGCCCCUGCUAC
RNAcentral lists this transfer RNA (75 nucleotides) under Microgenomates group bacterium ADurb.Bin219. RNAcentral's name for it is "tRNA-Met". It matches the Rfam family "tRNA". From Rfam's summary of the family: Transfer RNA (tRNA) molecules are approximately 80 nucleotides in length. Their secondary structure includes four short double-helical elements and three loops (D, anti-codon, and T loops). The record is from RNAcentral.